RNAcentral lists this long non-coding RNA (400 nucleotides) under Olea europaea (common olive). Its description in RNAcentral is "long non-coding RNA (OEUR_LNC006949)". The record is from RNAcentral. Lineage: Eukaryota; Viridiplantae; Streptophyta; Magnoliopsida; Lamiales; Oleaceae.
ACGUACAAACACAUACAGGAAGAAAAAAAGGAGGCAGCAGCAAUUCUAUAUAUAUUUUACACUCUUUGGCCAGUUGUAGGGAGGAAUAAUUUCGGCUUCCAGUAAUUGAGAGAGAGAGAGAGAGAGAGCCCGUGCGGCUAACGAGGGAAAGGCAGUGGACGAUUGGAACAAAAUUGGAAAUUAAUCACGUUCCGUCAAUUCUCAGUGAUGUCUUUCAUAAUUUUUCGUUUUUCUUUCAUUAAUAUGCGUAGCUAAAUUUAAUUUUAGGGCAAACAAUGUAACCUAUUUGAGACCUUUAUUUCUUUUAUUUAAGAUUCUUGUUCUUUUAUAUUUUAUGUGUGGAUUUUAAUUAUAUUUUUAAUACUUUGGAUUUUUUGGCCAAUUAUUCAAUGAUUUUGUG